Molecule: RNA transcript, 2106 nt
Organism: Populus nigra (black poplar)
Lineage: Eukaryota; Viridiplantae; Streptophyta; Magnoliopsida; Malpighiales; Salicaceae
Gene name: RNA pseudouridine synthase 6, chloroplastic
Exons: 11
Source: RefSeq, a predicted model, not a curated record
AAUCCUUUAACACCUUCACUACUUCAUGGCUGCGCUCACUCCAAGCAAACUGUAAACAAUGGCUUCUCUGAACUUAGCUUCAAUCUUUAGCUAUAGUUACAGGAGUUUUAGUGCACCAGUGACCCUCCUGCGCAAGCUAGCAUUCACCAGGGCUUAUUCUCUCAACAAGAAGGCUUUGGUUUGGUGUUCUCUGAGUAAAAGGAAGUUAAGCUGUGAAUCAUUGAAGCAAGAUAUUUCUUGCACAACUGCCGCUUCUUCUGUUAAUGGUUACCCGGAAUAUACUCGCUUGCUUCCAUGCCCCUCUCACAAUAGCCCACCAAGAAUUGAACACUUGGUUGUUUCAGAAGAAGGUCCUGUUCUAGACUAUAUCUGUAAAGCUCUGGAUCUGCCUCCUCUGUUUGUUGCAGAUCUUAUCCAUUUUGGAGCUGUACAUUAUGCCCUUGUAUGCCCACAGCCACCUCCAACAGCAACUCCUGAGCAGAUUAGGGUAUUUGAAGAAGUUACAGCACCAUCAGUUCUAAAGAAGAGAGCUUCUAUCAAAGGGAAAACAGUACGAGAAGCACAGAAAACUUUCCGGAUAACUCAUGUCGAUCAGUUUCUUGAAGCUGGAAUGUAUUUGCGUGUUCAUGUACACCCAAAACGCUUCCCUAGGUGCUAUGACAUUGAUUGGAAAUCAAGAAUUAUACAUGUGACUGAAUCUUUUGUUGUUUUGGACAAACCUGCUGGUACAUCGGUUGGAGGAACUACAGACAACAUAGAAGAAAGUUGUGCCACCUUCGCGACUCGUGCGCUGGGAUUGACAGCCCCAUUAAGGACUACCCAUCAGAUUGAUAACUGCACAGAAGGCUGUGUUGUGUUAGCCAGGACCAAGGAGGACUGCUCAGUUUUCCAUGGAAAAAUCAGAGAGAAAACGGUGAAGAAGCUUUAUAUUGCACUUGCUGCAUCUCCUGUGCCCAUUGGUGUAGUUAACCACUACAUGCGUCCUAUUAAUAUGGCUCCGAGACUUGUUUCAGAAGAAUUUAUAAAAGGUUGGCAUUUAUGUCAACUUGAGGUCAUGGAAUGCAAGAGAGUUCCUUGGCCAGAUGCUGUUAUGGAAGAGAAAUAUUGUGUUCAAGACUGUGGGUGGCCCUCAAAGGAUCAUCCAUAUGAGUGUAAAAUCAACCUUUUGACUGGCCGUACACAUCAGAUACGAGCUCAACUGGCUGCCCUCGGUGCACCUCUGGUGGGUGACUCAAUGUACAUGCCAGCUGCAGUUGCAGAAAUGGUCAGUCCGGGUUGUAAUCCAUUUGGAAAAUACAAAAAGCAAUACACUAGUGAGGAUGAUAAAGCAAUAGCUGUUGAAGAGUGGGUUUUAUGUCACGGAAAGGAACCAAACGUUGCAAUUGGUCUUCAGGCAUGCCAGAUUUCAUGGGAUGAUGGCAAGCACAUUUACAACGCUGGAUCUCCCUGGUGGAGAUGCAGAAUGGCUUAAAUAGGUACUGGAUGAUUGGGAUCAAUUACCAAGCUGAGUGUUCUUCAGCUGAGGUUUGAGGUCCAUCUACCAUCACUCUUUGAUCUAAAGGUAUCCCAUUGUCAGAAGGUGGGACUCAAUUUAAGAACCAUAAACUGUAGGCCUUGUGACAUGUUGUAAAGCAAAGGCAAAUAAAAUUCUGAAGGGAAGAUAUAACGUGGCUAGUGUUACAUGAUGUUUAUUAUUAUUAUACAGUACACUAAGAUCUGGGGAAAAGAAAUAGCAAUCAAAAGAGCUCCGUAUUUUUUUUUGAGACGAUCACAAUGUAAGACGAUCCCAAUGCUUCCACCUUAUGUUUUUUUUGAGAUUACCAACGUAGCUAGUGUACAAUUUUGUCCUAUUUUCCUUCUACUACUCACAGGUGAUAUCUGAACUGAGCUUUUAUCCGUAUGAUUACCAGAACUUGGUACUAUAGAUAUCGACUGCAGUUGCAUGUGAUAGGAUUAUGUUAUGUGUUGUUUCAAAUGCUGUGUCUUUGAGUCUCCGUAAGAACAAAUUUUCAAAGGGGCUCGAGCAAUGGUAUGUCGGGUGUUGACUUGUCCGGUACCCAAAUACGACUGGAAAAUUUCAGCUAAAUAAAUGUCAUUUAGAUUUAA